Molecule: ribosomal RNA, 479 nt
Filed under: Hylophorbus sextus
Lineage: Eukaryota; Metazoa; Chordata; Amphibia; Anura; Microhylidae
Description: partial 16S ribosomal RNA
Source: RNAcentral
AUUCAGGAAAAGGAUCUUAGUCCAAUUUUAAUUCUCUUCAUAACACUAAAUAUACCUAUAGAUUUAAAAUUUGCUCAAAUAAGGUACAGCCUAUUUGAGACAGGAUACAACCUACUAUAGAGGGUAAUGCAUAAAUUAACCUGACCAAGUAGGCCUAAAAGCAGCCACCUUUUAAAAAGCGUUAAAGCCUCAUCACAUUAAAUUAUAAAUACCAGUCUAAACUCAAAACCCCUUUACCCUACUGAAUGACUUCAUAUUCAUAUGAAAAUCUUUAUGUUAGAACUAGUAACAAGAAUAAAUAUUCUCCAAUAAAUGUAAGUGUAAGUCGAAAUGGACCACCCAUCGACACUCAUCGCUAAUGAACCCACAGUAAUAACUUCCCCAAGAAAAUUCUACUUUUCCUAACGUUAACCUUACACAAGAACUUUUCUGGAAAGAUUAAAAAAAGAGGAAGGAACUCGGCAAACAUUAACCCCGCC